AACGAACGCUGGCGGCAUGCCUAACACAUGCAAGUCGAACGAGACCUUCGGGUCUAGUGGCGCACGGGUGCGUAACGCGUGGGAACCUGCCUUUAGGUUCGGAAUAACAGUGAGAAAUUACUGCUAAUACCGGAUGAUGUCUUCGGACCAAAGAUUUAUCGCCUUUAGAUGGGCCCGCGUUGGAUUAGCUAGUUGGUGGGGUAAAGGCCUACCAAGGCUACGAUCCUUAGCUGGUCUGAGAGGAUGAUCAGCCACACUGGGACUGAGACACGGCCCAGACUCCUACGGGAGGCAGCAGUGGGGAAUAUUGGACAAUGGGGGAAACCCUGAUCCAGCAAUGCCGCGUGAGCGAUGAAGGCCUUAGGGUUGUAAGCUCUUUACCGGGAUGAUAAUGACAGUACCGGGAGAAUAAGCCCCCGGCUAACUCCGUG
Molecule: ribosomal RNA, 431 nt
Filed under: uncultured bacterium
Lineage: Bacteria
Description: bacterial SSU rRNA
Rfam family: Bacterial small subunit ribosomal RNA
Source: RNAcentral